UGGGGAAUAUUGCACAAUGGGCGCAAGCCUGAUGCAGCCAUGCCGCGUGUAUGAAGAAGGCCUUCGGGUUGUAAAGUACUUUCAGCGAGGAGGAAGGCGUUGUGGUUAAUAACCGCAGCGAUUGACGUUACUCGCAGAAGAAGCACCGGCUAACUCCGUGCCAGCAGCCGCGGUAAUACGGAGGGGGCAAGCGUUAAUCGGAAUUACUGGGCGUAAAGAGCACGCAGGCGGUCUGUCAAGUCGGAUGUGAAAUCCCCGGGCUCAACCUGGGAACUGCAUCCGAAACUGGCAGGCUAGAGUCUUGUAGAGGGGGGUAGAAUUCCAGGUGUAGCGGUGAAAUGCGUAGAGAUCUGGAGGAAUACCGGUGGCGAAGGCGGCCCCCUGGACAAAGACUGACGCUCAGGUGCGAAAGCUUGGGGAGCAAACA
This 427-nucleotide ribosomal RNA is filed under the name uncultured bacterium. RNAcentral describes it as "partial 16S ribosomal RNA". It matches the Rfam family "Bacterial small subunit ribosomal RNA", at positions 355 to 774 of the family's 1533-position model. The record is from RNAcentral.